UAAAAGAUUUAAAAACAAAUAUUGGGCUGGAGAGAUGGCUCAGCGGUUAAGAGCACCCGAUUGCUCUUCCAGAGGUCAUGAGUUCAAUUCCCAGCAACCAUAUGGUGGCUCACAACCAUCUGUAAAGAGAUCCGGUGCCCUCUUCUGGUGUGUCUGAAGACAGCUACCGUGUACUUACAUGUAAUAAAUAAAUAAAUAAAUCUUUAAAAAAAAAACAAAUAUAACCACAGUAAGUGAAAGACUGUAAAUUCAAACACAUUGACAAGUAAAAAGUCUUAAGAACUCCAGGCAGUGAUGGCACACACAUACACACACACCUUUAGUCUCAGUGCUUGGGGGACAGAGGCAGGUGGAGUUCUGUGAGUACAAGGCUAGCCUGGUCUACAGAGCGAAUUCCAAGACAACCGGGGCUACAAAGAGAAACCGUCUCAGAAAAAAAAGAAAAGUCUAAGUAAAUGGAAGAAUAUACCAUGAUCUGGAUUGGGAAAAUGGAAUACUGCUAAAAUGCUGACACUAUCAAAAUAAUAAAGAUUCAAGUAAUCUCUGUCAAAAUCCCUAUAACAUCUUUCAUAGAGCAAUCCUAAAAUUCACGUGGGAGACCUUUGAAAGCCAAAGCAGUGUCUGAGAAAGACGACGGAGUACGGAGGCGCAGACUCUAUUUGAGCCUGUUAUAAAACUAGAGUAAUCGAAACAGUGACAGUCCCGAGGUAAGGACAGGCAUGGGACAUGGCUAAGAAUGCAGGAGAGCCCAGAAACAAACUCGAUUGUAGACAUGGAGCUAAUCAACAAGGCCAGGAGAACACGGUGAGGAAACAAUGCCCUCCAUUAAGUGGUGUGGCCUACAGAGGUCUCUUGGCUUCACAGUCAGGGGAAGCCAGCAUCUGAGAGAAACAGGAGGAACUUCAUGGCUUUUCCAGGCCUCGAGGGAACAAACUAGGGGAAGUCACAUCCCUGCCUCCAGCUAAACUGUCUGUAGCUUAGGCCCUGGCCACCUACUCCUCCCCCUCCAGAGAACACAGGAGUCCAUAGGCUUCCACAGAGAACCCUGGUGGCCAUGUUCUAGGCUUCCAUCUCCACCACAACCCAAGUUCUCAGUUGCCAUCCGAGACCCUCUCGGGUCCAUCCACAGCUCCUUUGCCUCUACUCCCAAGCUCCGGAUGGCCAUCUGGUCUAGCUGCUGGCAGCAGCCCACUCUCCUAGAAGUCCCGGUGUGGAAGGGGUUAAGAAGAUGUGCCCAUCCUUGCUGUUCUUCUCCCAGACCUGCCCCCCUUGCUCUCCCUAUUGACUUCCUAGUCUAUGUGGAGCAGUAAUCCCUCUGUGUCCAUAGCCUGCCAUGUCUUACCUCCCUCAGAGCCCAUUGGACACAACUUGUCGCUAUCCUGCUUGCCGGCCUAAGCUAUCACAUACAUUUCAUUCUUGGCUCUUCUCACAAGGAACCCUCUGUCUUCAGUUCCCCCAAUGAUCUGGAGUCUACAUGUUCUUGGAAGGUGGCAAAACUAAUCACUUGCCACACCUCACAUCUCGACGUCCUGCCUCCUUGCUUCAGCCUUAUUCCCUGUGGGGCUCCAAGGUCUCAGAUGAAAGACAAGGCACUUCUUACUCAGAGAGGGCUAGAGCAGCCAAGUCUAGCUCAAAGGAGAACCCAAAAUUCCAGCUCACCAGCUCAGCUGACCCCCGAGUGGUCCAGGAACAGGAGCACAUGAGCUGAAGCAAAGCCACUGGUGCCUGAUCACUCACUAUGUCCUUUACACAUUCAAGUUCCCCAGAAACCAUCAGGACAUCAGCUUGGGAGCAGCCUGAAGACAGACCUGUAUGUCAGGCAGCACUGAAAAAGCUGAGAUUUGGCUCUGCUCUGCUCAUAGAGAUCUUCACUGCUUUCCCUGACCUCAUGAUGCCUGGCAGAGGCACGUGCACUCUUAAAGCACUGGACCCUGAACUGUAUCCUGAGCCUCUCCUGCUCCAGCUCAGUGGGAACCCUCAGGAAACGCAGGUCCAUCCAGGCUAGUGCGACUACCCAAAGGCUGCUGGCCUAACAUGAUAGUACAGGCCUCCACCUGCACCGGAGUAUAAGCCAACCUGAUCCCACUGGGAAACUUAACUGAUCUGCAGGAGUUACCAAGGCCCCGAGAAGAUGGAGGGGCUGCUCCUGGAAAGAGAAAAUUCCCAGCCCCAUCUCAGCCCUGGCAUCUCCUCUCUUCUUCCCAGAGACAACUUUCUGAGCUAUGGGGGAUUUUCUCCACUAUAUGCCCCAAGACCACAAAGCCCCUCCUUGCUCUAAGAGCAACGACACCUAUGUCUGUGGUGCCCCACCUCAGUUCUUUCUACCAUCACACAGCAAACAUAGCUGAGUGUGCUGGACCGUGAGUCCCCAAGAUACAGGGACAGGCCAUCCCAUGACCCAGAGGGCUCACAGCACAGUUGAUCCAGAAGAGACCAUGCAACUCUGAGGCUGCAGCUACCAGGAAAAGCGCAGACAGGGACCCAGUGAAAGCCACUGGGGCCAGGGGACGUUACAGAAAGUCACAAGGGGCCAGGGUGUCCGGGUGGGGCUAAAAGCAGGAUGUGCUGCAAUUCCCAGCAAGGCAAGGAGACCACUAGACCUCAGAGCAAUAAGGCCAGGAGGGGUUGACAAGGACUGGACAGAGAAGCCAGGUACAAUCUUGCAGGAUGGUGAAGAGGGGAGCGACGGGGCUCCUCUGAACUUUGCUUUUGAGGCAGAGAUAAGCAGGACUUCCAUGGUAAGAUGGGGUAUGGAGGCCAGAGUGGAGCCUUCUACCAAUCUCUUGUGACAAGAGGAAGCACAGCCUCACAUCAAGCCCGGAGGUCUCAGCACUCCCAGGCUUCCCACUGUCCCUCACUGAAACCAAUCAACGGCAAAGUCCCUACAAGAUCAUUGAGUUUGAUGACCAAACCUACACUCUAUCUGAAAGGGUUUCAGGGAGAGAAGAGUUGGUCUGUCCAUCAGACAGGGAAAUGUGUCACAACCUGACAGGUUGGGGCCACAGAGCUUAGGAGUCCGCUGCAGCACACAGGGAGAGACAUGAAUACCGGCCUUCCACCUUGGGGAAGACCCAGGACCUUUCAGUUCUAGGCUGAUGAUGUAACCGUGGGUCCAUCAAACAGUAACAAAUAUCUGUGGAUAUCUGUCACCCCUGUUUGCAGUCCCAUCUGGAGACUGCUCCCUCAACCUGUUAGGGCAGACGCAUCUGGCAGCAUCAUAGUGUGUUUGGUGUGGUACAGCUCGGACUGUAAGAAGCUACUUCACAGGUGAGACAGAAAAGGGAGUCACUGCCACAGAGGUCUCCACAUCAGAGGGUGUGAGAAAGAAAGCGAAAGAAUGUAAACACAGGAACCAACAUGGACGGAUGCCACACCACGUCACUUUGUGGCUCUCACUUCCGAGAGCACACUUCAGAACAUGAGGAAGGCUUCCUGGAAACCAACGGGUAAAAAUCCAAAGAGUAUACAUGUGUAUGUGACCCUUCACAGACUGAAAGACAAAACGGCCUGAGUAACAGUGCUCUGGCCACCGCCCCCCCCCCAAGUGUAGUAACAUUAGUCAUACGCUGAUUUCAAAAAUGGUGGGACCACACACUAGAAAAUAAGCUUUAGGUCACAUUAAGGCCUGCCACACUGUCCGAGGCAGAAAUCAGUGGAGAGGUGUAUGUGCGCCUGUGUGCGAGGUUUCUCAGAGUGCUGUAUGCAUGUGUGAUUAAAAUCUAAAUAUAGCCCCCAAACUGUUCAGAAUGAACAUGGAGAUGAUUAA
Rattus norvegicus (Norway rat) is the source of this 3766-nucleotide non-coding RNA. The record is from RefSeq and is a predicted model, not a curated record. Lineage: Eukaryota; Metazoa; Chordata; Mammalia; Rodentia; Muridae.